This 254-nucleotide ribosomal RNA is filed under the name uncultured bacterium. Its description in RNAcentral is "partial 16S ribosomal RNA". It matches the Rfam family "Bacterial small subunit ribosomal RNA", at positions 524 to 776 of the family's 1533-position model. The record is from RNAcentral.
UACGGGGGGGGCAAGCGUUGUUCGGAAUUACUGGGCGUAAAGGGUGCGUAGGCGGUUUGUCGCGUCUGCUGUGAAAACUCGAGGCUCAACCUUGGGCUUGCAGUGGGUACGGGCAGACUAGAGUGCGGUAGGGGAGACUGGAAUUCCGUGGUGUAGCGGUGGAAUGCGCAGAUAUCAGGAGGAACACCGAUGGCGAAGGCAGGUCUCUGGGCCGCAACUGACGCUGAGGAGCGAAAGCAUGGGGAGCGAACAGG